RNAcentral lists this ribosomal RNA (1345 nucleotides) under uncultured bacterium. RNAcentral describes it as "bacterial SSU rRNA". It matches the Rfam family "Bacterial small subunit ribosomal RNA", at positions 28 to 1380 of the family's 1533-position model. The record is from RNAcentral.
GACGAACUUUGGCGGCGUGCUUAACACAUGCAAGUCGAACGGAAAGGCCCUGCUUUUGUGGGGUGCUCGAGUGGCGAACGGGUGAGUAACACGUGAGUAACCUGCCCUUGACUUUGGGAUAACUUCAGGAAACUGGGGCUAAUACCGGAUAGGAGCUCCUGCUGCAUGGUGGGGGUUGGAAAGUUUCGGCGGUUGGGGAUGGACUCGCGGCUUAUCAGCUUGUUGGUGGGGUAGUGGCUUACCAAGGCUUUGACGGGUAGCCGGCCUGAGAGGGUGACCGGCCACAUUGGGACUGAGAUACGGCCCAGGCUCCUACGGGAGGCAGCAGUGGGGAAUAUUGCACAAUGGGCGGGAGCCUGAUGCAGCAACGCCGCGUGCGGGAUGACGGCCUUCGGGUUGUAGACCGCUUUCGCCUGUGACGAAGCGUGAGUGACGGUAAUGGGUAAAGAAGCACCGGCUAACUACGUGCCAGCAGCCGCGGUGAUACGUAGGGUGCGAGCGUUGUCCGGAUUUAUUGGGCGUAAAGGGCUCGUAGGUGGUUGAUCGCGUCGGAAGUGUAAUCUUGGGGCUUAACCCUGAGCGUGCUUUCGAUACGGGUUGACUUGAGGAAGGUAGGGGAGAAUGGAAUUCCUGGUGGAGCGGUGGAAUGCGCAGAUAUCAGGAGGAACACCAGUGGCGAAGGCGGUUCUCUGGGCCUUUCCUGACGCUGAGGAGCGAAAGCGUGGGGAGCGAACAGGCUUAGAUACCCUGGUAGUCCACGCUGUAAACGGUGGGUACUAGGUGUGGGGUCCAUUCCACGGGUUCCGUGCCGUAGCUAACGCUUUAAGUACCCCGCCUGGGGAGUACGGCCGCAAGGCUAAAACUCAAAGGAAUUGACGGGGCCCCGCACAAGCGGCGGAGCAUGCGGAUUAAUUCGAUGCAACGCGUAGAACCUUACCUGGGUUUGACAUGGAUCGGGAGUGCUCAGAGAUGGGUGUGCCUCUUUUGGGGUCGGUUCACAGGUGGUGCAUGCCUGUCGUCAGCUCGUGUCGUGAGAUGUUGGGUUAAGUCCCGCAACGAGCGCAACCCUUGUUCACUGUUGCCAGCACGUUAUGGUGGGGACUCAGUGGAGACCGCCGGGGUCAACUCGGAGGAAGGUGGGGAUGACGUCAAGUCCUCAUGCCCCUUAUGUCCAGGGCUUCACGCAUGCUACAAUGGCUGGUACAGAGAGUGGCGAGCCUGUGAGGGUGAGCGAAUCUCGGAAAGCCGGUCUCAGUUCGGAUUGGGGUCUGCAACUCGACCUCAUGAAGUCGGAGUCGCUAGUAAUCGCAAAUCAGCAACGCUGCGGUGAAUACGUUCCCGGGGC